CCUACGGGUGGCAGCAGUGGGGAAUAUUGGACAAUGGGGGGAACCCUGAUCCAGCGACGCCGCGUGAGUGAAGAAGUAUUUCGGUAUGUAAAGCUCUAUCAGCAGGGAAGAAAGAAAUGACGGUACCUGACUAAGACGCCCCGGCUACCUACGUGCCAGCAGCCGCGGUAAUACGUAGGGGGCAAGCGUUAUCCGGAUUUACUGGGUGUAAAGGGAGCGUAGACGGCGAUGCAAGUCUGAAGUGAAAGGCGGGGGCCCAACCCCUGGACUGCUUUGGAAACUGUAUGGCUGGAGUGCAGGAGAGGUAAGUGGAAUUCCUAGUGUAGCGGUGAAAUGCGUAGAUAUUAGGAGGAACACCAGUGGCGAAGGCGGCUUACUGGACUGUAACUGACGUUGAGGCUCGAAAGCGUGGGGAGCAAACAGGAUUAGAUACCCCAGUAGUC
Molecule: ribosomal RNA, 443 nt
Filed under: uncultured bacterium
Lineage: Bacteria
Description: partial 16S ribosomal RNA
Rfam family: Bacterial small subunit ribosomal RNA
Source: RNAcentral